Molecule: ribosomal RNA, 225 nt
Filed under: Upeneus margarethae
Lineage: Eukaryota; Metazoa; Chordata; Actinopteri; Syngnathiformes; Mullidae
Description: partial 16S ribosomal RNA
Source: RNAcentral
GCCUUACAGCUAGCCCACAAGAAUAAAAGAAACAUAUCAUAUUAAUAACCCCUAAGACACUUAAUACCACCCAAACAAAUCAUUUUACCCCCUUAGUAUGGGCGACAGAAAAGGAACAAGGAGCAAUAGAGAAAGUACCGCAAGGGAAAGCUGAAAGAGAAAUGAAAUAAAUCAGUUUAAGCACAACAAAGCAGAGAUUUAAGCUCGUACCUUUUGCAUCAUGAA